This 66-nucleotide transfer RNA is filed under the name Delichon urbicum (Northern house-martin). RNAcentral's name for it is "tRNA-Cys". Lineage: Eukaryota; Metazoa; Chordata; Aves; Passeriformes; Hirundinidae. The record is from RNAcentral.
AGUCCUGUAGUGAAAUUCAUGGUGAGUUGCAAGCUCAUUGAUGUGCGUUAAUGCGUGCCAGGGCUU